Molecule: ribosomal RNA, 438 nt
Filed under: uncultured bacterium
Lineage: Bacteria
Description: partial 16S ribosomal RNA
Rfam family: Bacterial small subunit ribosomal RNA
Source: RNAcentral
UCUACGGGGGGCUGCAGUGAGGAAUAUUGCGCAAUGGGGGAAACCCUGACGCAGCGACGCCGCGUGGAUGAUGAAGGCCCUUGGGUCGUAAAAUCCUGUCAGAUGGAAAGAAGUGUUAUGGAGUUAAUCCCUCUGUAGCUUGACGGUACCAUCAAAGGAAGCACCGGCUAACUCCGUGCCAGCAGCCGCGGUAAUACGGAGGGUGCAAGCGUUGUUCGGGAUUACUGGGCGUAAAGGGCGCAUAGGCGGUCUCAACCGUGGAAGUGCAGUUGAAACUGGCAGACGUGAGUAGUGGAGGGGGGGGUGGAAUUCCCGGUGUAGAGGUGAAAUUCGUAGAUAUCGGGAGGAAUACCGGUGGCGAAGGCGACCACCUGGCCAAAUACUGACGCUGAGGUGCGAAAGCGUGGGGAGCAAACAGGAUUAGAUACCCCAGUAGUC